Podarcis lilfordi (Lilford's wall lizard) is the source of this 72-nucleotide non-coding RNA. The record is from the annotation of a GenBank genome assembly. Lineage: Eukaryota; Metazoa; Chordata; Lepidosauria; Squamata; Lacertidae.
AGAGUGGUAGCUCAGUGGUGGAACAUCUGUUUCACAUAUAGAAGGUCCCAGGUUCAAUCCUUGUCUUCUCCA